Salarias fasciatus (jewelled blenny) is the source of this 232-nucleotide long non-coding RNA. RefSeq lists it as uncharacterized. The transcript has 6 exons. NCBI's taxonomy places the organism in Eukaryota, Metazoa, Chordata, Actinopteri, Blenniiformes, Blenniidae. The record is from RefSeq and is a predicted model, not a curated record.
AAAUCCUGCCUUGCUCCGGCCCUCAUCCCCCCCCCGGCUCCAAGCCAGCGAGCCGGGCUUCUUACCCAUUUAAAGUUUGAGAAUAGGUUGAGACCGUUUCAGCCCCAAGACCUCUAAUCAUUCGCUUUACCAGAUAAAACUGCGAGUCCGAGAUCCAGCUUUCCGGGGGGACACUUCGGACGGAACCAGCUACUAGAUGGUUCGAUUAGUCUUUCGCCCCUAUACCCUGGUC